GACGAACGCUGGCGGCGUGCUUAACACAUGCAAGUCGAACGAUGAAGCCUUCGGGUGGAUUAGUGGCGAACGGGUGAGUAACACGUGGGUGAUCUGCCCUGCACUUUGGGAUAAGCCUGGGAAACUGGGUCUAAUACCGAAUAUGAUCAUGCUCUUCCUGGGGUGUGGUGGAAAGCUUUUGCGGUGUGGGAUGGGCCCGCGGCCUAUCAGCUUGUUGGUGGGGUAAUGGCCUACCAAGGCGACGACGGGUAGCCGGCCUGAGAGGGUGACCGGCCACACUGGGGCUGAGAUACGGCCCAGACUCCUACGGGAGGCAGCAGUGGGGAAUAUUGCACAAUGGGCGCAAGCCUGAUGCAGCGAUGCCGCGUGAGGGAUGACGGCCUUCGGGUUGUAAACCUCUUUCAGCAGGGACGAAGCGAAAGUGACGGUACCUGCAGAAGAAGGACCGGCCAACUACGUGCCAGCAGCCGCCGUAA
This 476-nucleotide ribosomal RNA is filed under the name uncultured bacterium. Its description in RNAcentral is "partial 16S ribosomal RNA". It matches the Rfam family "Bacterial small subunit ribosomal RNA", at positions 28 to 523 of the family's 1533-position model. The record is from RNAcentral.